GAGCUUUCUUUGUCAUUAAUUCUGUCUUCAGUCUUGCAGAUUUUUGUAAUUUCCGUGUGCAAUUUGAUAUAGUAUUAUACAGUGAUAUAAUUCUCCAUCUAUGUCUCUUGCUAUGCCUAUGUUUUAGUGAAGUCAAUAUGCCCACUAUGACCCAUAGGUGUGUAUUUUAAGGAUGUCUGAGGAGGGUAUCAUAUUUGACUGUCAAAAUAAUUAUAGUGAAAUAUUGAUCAAUGCAUACCAUGUACCCAUGUAUAUAUAUAUACCCAUGUUUGAUUUGUACAGAUUAUGUCGAAGAAAUAUUUCAAACUUUUCUCAAUGUUACCAAAGAUGAUCUUAAAAAGGCAGCCAAGCAACUCAAAGAGUACGGUGUCUUUGCAAAGUGUUGCCCACUGCCUGUGGCCCAUAGAUAAGUUACCCAGUAUGCUUGCUGUUAAUAUAAAUCUUUUUGUUACUGUAGUUUCACUACUACGUUGUUGAACAGAGCCAAAAGAAGUCUAAAGCAGCACCAAAAUGCAGGGCAUGUGAACAACCCAUGAAAGGACACAAGUUUGUUACAGACUGUCCAAGGAAUGAAAGGAGCACAUCAUAGUGUAUUAUAUGGAUAAGGCAUUUGAGGAGGGAGGGCAUAUUGGGAGGGUUUUUUUUUCAGAAGGGCAU
This is a non-coding RNA of Paramuricea clavata, 657 nucleotides long. Lineage: Eukaryota; Metazoa; Cnidaria; Anthozoa; Malacalcyonacea; Plexauridae. The record is from the annotation of a GenBank genome assembly.